AAUGGAGGAAACUCUGAUCCAGCAAUUCUGUGUGCACGAUGAAGGUUUUCGGAUCGUAAAGUGCUUUCAGUAGGGAAGAAGAAAGUGACGGUACCUACAGAAGAAGCGACGGCUAAAUACGUGCCAGCAGCCGCGGUAAUACGUAUGUCGCAAGCGUUAUCCGGAAUUAUUGGGCGUAAAGGGCAUCUAGGCGGUCAAUCAAGUCGAAGGUGAAAACUUGUGGCUCAACCAUAAGCUUGCCUACGAAACUGAUUAACUAGAGUACUGGAGAGGUGGACGGAACUACACGAGUAGAGGUGAAAUUCGUAGAUAUGUGUAGGAAUGCCGAUGAUGAAGAUAGUUCACUGGACAGAAACUGACGCUGAAGUGCGAAAGCUAGGGGAGCAAA
Molecule: ribosomal RNA, 388 nt
Filed under: uncultured bacterium
Lineage: Bacteria
Description: bacterial SSU rRNA
Rfam family: Bacterial small subunit ribosomal RNA
Source: RNAcentral